GCUAACAUGCAGUCGAACGAGAGCUUCGGCUCUAGUGGCGAACGGCGGAGUAAUACGUGAACAACGUGCCCCUAAGUCUGGGACAAACGCAGAAAUGCCAUGAAUACCAGAUGUGACCGAGAGAGGACAUCCUUUUUCGAUUAAAGGUUUUUCGCUUAGGGAGCGGUUCACGGCCUAUCAGCUAGUUGGUGGGGUAAAGGCCUACCAAGGCGACGACGGGUAGGGGGUCUGAGAGGAUGAUCCCCCCGAGUGGGACUGAGACACGGCCCACACACCUACGGGUGGCAGCAGUUGGGAAUCUUGCACAAUGGGGGAAACCCUGAUGCAGCGACGCCGCGUGGAGGAUGACGGAUUUAGGUCUGUAAACUCCUUUUGCAGGGAAAGACUUAGGACGGUACCCUGAGAAUAAGGACCGGCUAACUACGUGCCAGCAGCCGCGGUAAGACGUAGGGUCCAAGCGUUGUCCGGAUUUACUGGGCGUAAAGAGCGCGUAGGCGGUCCGUUAAGUGUGAAGUGAAAUCUCCAGAGCUCAACUCGGAAACUGCUUCGCAUACUGGCGGACUUGAGGAAUGCAGAGGUGAAUAGAAUUCCUGGUGUAGCGGUGAAAUGCGUAGAUAUCAGGAGGAAUACCCAUGGCGAAGGCAGUUCACUGGGCAUUAUCUGACGCUGAGGCGCGAAAGCGUGGGGAGCAAACAGGAUUAGAUACCCUGGUAGUCCACGCCCUAAACGAUGGAUGCUAGGCGUAAGAGGUAUCGACCCCUCUUGUGCCGCAGCUAACGCAUUAAGCAUCCCGCCUGGGGAGUACGGCCGCAAGGUUGAAACUCAAAUGAAUUGACGGGGACCCGCACAAGCGGUGGAGCAUGUGGAUUAAUUCGAUACUAACCGAAGAACCUUACCCAGAUUUGACAUCGAUUGCAACAUCUAGAGAUAGAUGCCUCUCCCAAAAGGAGACAUGAAGACACUUGUUGCAUGGCUGUCGUCAGCUCGUGCCGUGAGGUGUACGGUUAAGUCCGCCAACGAGCGCAACCCUCGUCCUA
Molecule: ribosomal RNA, 1037 nt
Filed under: uncultured Fimbriimonadaceae bacterium
Lineage: Bacteria; Bacillati; Armatimonadota; Fimbriimonadia; Fimbriimonadales; Fimbriimonadaceae
Description: bacterial SSU rRNA
Rfam family: Bacterial small subunit ribosomal RNA
Source: RNAcentral